This 292-nucleotide ribosomal RNA is filed under the name uncultured bacterium. RNAcentral's name for it is "partial 16S ribosomal RNA". It matches the Rfam family "Bacterial small subunit ribosomal RNA", at positions 505 to 796 of the family's 1533-position model. The record is from RNAcentral.
GUGCCAGCCGCCGCGGUAAGACAGAGGGUGCAAACGUUGCUCGGAAUCACUGGGCGUAAAGGGCGCGUAGGCGGACAAGUAAGUCGGGCGUGAAAUCCCUAGGCUCAACCUAGGAACUGCACUCGAAACUGCAUGUCUUGAGUACCGGAGAGGAAAGCGGAAUACCUGGUGUAGAGGUGAAAUUCGUAGAUAUCAGGUGGAACACCAGUGGCGAAGGCGGCUUUCUGGACGGUAACUGACGCUGAGGCGCGAAAGCGUGGGGAGCAAACAGGAUUAGAUACCCCCGUAGUCC